GAAAUCAACGGCAGGAGAUCUGCCGGAAUUUGAUUAGAGAAAGAAAAACCGUACAAUACAGACCAGAGCGAGCAAAAUAAAAUUAAAAAUUACAGAUCAAGGGGGCUUAAAAGCCGAGCUACGAAGGUCAAUUUCCUGCUUGACAAAAUAAGCUACGUCCAUCUCUGAUCUAACAGAACUUGUGAAAAUCCUAUUAUUCCUUUCCAACCAAAUAUUCCACCAUGUUGUGAGGAGAGCUCCUCUUGUUUUCAGCUUUUGCUCUUUUGAACCGUGACGAUCGAUUUCGUUGGAUGUUCCGCCUGGGGGUUGAGCAUUUCCUCCUGCCAAGUUUAGCCAUGAGCAAACGAGGUUCCAUACUUGUCUGACAAAAGGGCAUUCACUGAACCUUAAUGAAAUUUGAUCCGUAAAAAAAAAAAAAGAACGGCUAUUCAGAGUCCCACAGUGCAGUUCCUCUGUUCUUUCGCUGCAGAAAUCCUGAGCAUGCAAGUGUUAAACUAUGUGUGGUUCGAAACGUGCACGCACAAGUAUUCUCUCUUGAUCUGAACAUUUUCGUUUGCCUGAAUGAAGCAUUGUUACAGCCGAGAUAGUUUAAUUUAACUUGGGAGUAUUAAAAAUCUGCCGCAAAUUUGAAAAACUUUCAGAUAUAACUAUAACAUAAUUGAAAUUUAAUUACAUUAUAACUACACUAUAGCUACACUAUAACUGCAGUGCAAUUACCGGUAUAACUUAUAUAAAACUUGUAUUCAACUAUAGGUUGGUUGGCUCGCACUAGAAUCUUACGUGUGACAAGUGCGAAAUUUUCUUUUUCCUUCAUGCAUAAAUUUCGAGGUGAUAUGAGGUUCAUAGAUCUAAAAGUUUUGAAGGCAAAAAAAAAAAAAACUUGUAGAAGUUCUCUAGCAAUUAUGUUUAACUUUAUUGUUGUUGUUUAGUUGGCAGUCAUGUGUAGUAUUUACAUUUCAUUUGAAAAUGCAAGAUGUGUUUUGAAACAAUGGGUUUUGAUAAUUGGGUAUUAAAUCAAAACUCGUGUAGAUUUUCUUCUUAGGUAAUGGAUUACUAUAUAAAAAAAAUAAAUCUAGUAGGUGUGCACUGCGCGUAGCAUUAGUUUCAUCUGUACUGUUUGUUAUUACUCGUAGCGAAAUCAACGGCCUAUAUAUUGCUUUCCAUUUCCCUUUGGAAACGAAAAAUAAUGAAAAUACUUCGAAAAAAAAGAAAAAUAAUGAAAAUGGAGAAGAGGAUGGACUGAAUUCAUCACUCAAUCACACAAGCAUUUCCACUCACGAUUGGACAGUGUAUAUGCGUGCCCAAAAACUGUCCCAUGAAGACUAUAUCAUAAGCAUGAAAGGCAUCGGGAAUUAUACGGAGAGUAUCACAUCAAUCAAAGGUAACACACAAAUCCAAACAUUAAAAUGUUAUCGAUGCCAUGACUGAUCUGCAUCAAUCCGCUCGGCAUGGAGCAGAACUGCAGAAGCUUCAGAAUGGCAUGAUCAAUUGCCAGCUAUUUAUCCUAGAUUUGUUGACUACUUAGAGCAAGCAGGGGUGGCUUAUCUUGCCCACGCCCAACUCGACAGUUUAAUCUUCUCCUUAUCUUAAUGAAAUUAGGUCAGCCAACUUUUGACCGACCUGACAAAAAAUAAAAAAGAAUAUAUGACAUACUAGACUUGCAGAUAUCAAA
This is a non-coding RNA of Oryza sativa Japonica Group (Japanese rice), 1672 nucleotides long. NCBI's taxonomy places the organism in Eukaryota, Viridiplantae, Streptophyta, Magnoliopsida, Poales, Poaceae. The record is from RefSeq and is a predicted model, not a curated record.